UACCAAUACAAGCCGGCCGGUUUGCUGUUGCAGCUUGUUCGAAAGAGCGGAUGCGCUGUCUUCCGGUUGGUAAGCCAGCACCCGCCUUCCCCGCAAGGGGCAGGUUUGGGUACCUGGUAAACCCUUUGUGAACCAAAACAAACCUUUCGCUUCGGCAGCUGGGCCCCGUCUGGGACCCGUCAGCCUGCCGCUAGCACCAAACAAAAAAACUUGUUGUCAAAACAUUGUCUGAUAACCAAAAUUUUCGAAUGAAAAUCAAAACUUUCAACAACGGAUCUCUUGGUUCCCGCAUCGAUGAAGAACGCAGCGAAACGCGAUAGUUAAUGUGAAUUGCAGAAUUCAGUGAAUCAUCGAGUCUUUGAACGCACAUUGCGCCCAUUGGUAUUCCUUUGGGCAUGUCUGUUUGAGCGUCAUUACAACCCUCAGCUACCCGCUGGUUUUGAACCCGAACGGUUCCCCCUAACCGGGGAACCGAGCCGGUUUUAAAGUUGUAAGCUCUGCUGGCCGCUCCGCCCCAACCAGAACAUAGUAAAAUACUACUUUUGUUAGGGUCAAGCGGAACGGUUUUUCGGCCUGAACAAAACCUACCCAUUUUUCAAG
This 600-nucleotide ribosomal RNA is filed under the name Arthrobotrys superba. RNAcentral describes it as "eukaryotic LSU rRNA". The stretch from base 260 to 413 matches the Rfam family "5.8S ribosomal RNA". Lineage: Eukaryota; Fungi; Ascomycota; Orbiliomycetes; Orbiliales; Orbiliaceae. The record is from RNAcentral.